AGUGAACGCUGGCGGUAGGCCUAACACAUGCAAGUCGAACGGCAGCACAGUAAGAGCUCGCUCUUACGGGUGGCGAGUGGCGGACGGGUGAGGAAUACAUCGGAAUCUACUUUUUCGUGGGGGAUAACGUAGGGAAACUUACGCUAAUACCGCAUACGACCUACGGGUGAAAGCAGGGGAUCUUCGGACCUUGCGCGAUUGAAUGAGCCGAUGUCGGAUUAGCUAGUUGGCGGGGUAAAGGCCCACCAAGGCGACGAUCCGUAGCUGGUCUGAGAGGAUGAUCAGCCACACUGGAACUGGUACGCGGUACAGACUCCUACGGGAGGCAGCAGUGGGGAAUAUUGGACAAUGGGCGCAAGCCUGAUCCAGCCAUACCGCGUGGGUGAAGAAGGCCUUCGGGUUGUAAAGCCCUUUUGUUGGGAAAGAAAAGCAGCAGGUUAAUACCCCGCUGUUCUGACGGUACCCAAAGAAUAAGCACCGGCUAACUUCGUG
This 492-nucleotide ribosomal RNA is filed under the name uncultured bacterium. RNAcentral's name for it is "partial 16S ribosomal RNA". It matches the Rfam family "Bacterial small subunit ribosomal RNA", at positions 29 to 507 of the family's 1533-position model. The record is from RNAcentral.